Labeo rohita (rohu) is the source of this 292-nucleotide long non-coding RNA. RefSeq lists it as uncharacterized. The transcript has 4 exons. NCBI's taxonomy places the organism in Eukaryota, Metazoa, Chordata, Actinopteri, Cypriniformes, Cyprinidae. The record is from RefSeq and is a predicted model, not a curated record.
AAACAUUCACGUCUGAAGCGGAAGGAGUUACCAUGUAAACGGGGCGGAAACUCAACUGUCGAGCAGCAAAACGUGUCUCCCACUGUUGUUUUCACAAAUUUCAGAAAUGGUUUAUUGUCUUCAGAAAAAGUCUGUUAGCAUCUGAACUGUAAUGCUAACUAUAAGAGGUUUUGCAGGCAAUUUGUCAUUGGAUGAAAGGAACAGUUUCAGAAAAAAACUUCUACGACACAGGAAAAGUUCCUGAUUUGAAAAUUUCUGAAGGGAGCUGCUGACAGAAAUAUAAAAAACACAG